This 468-nucleotide ribosomal RNA is filed under the name uncultured bacterium. RNAcentral describes it as "partial 16S ribosomal RNA". It matches the Rfam family "Bacterial small subunit ribosomal RNA", at positions 28 to 507 of the family's 1533-position model. The record is from RNAcentral.
GAUGAACGCUGGCGGCGUGCUUAACACAUGCAAGUCGAACGGAAAGGCCCAAGCUUGCUUGGGUACUCGAGUGGCGAACGGGUGAGUAACACGUGGGUGAUCUGCCCUGCACUUCGGGAUAAGCCUGGGAAACUGGGUCUAAUACCGGCUAGGACCACUUCUCGGAUGUUGUGGUGGAAAGGUUUUCGGUGUGGGAUGAGCUCGCGGCCUAUCAGCUUGUUGGUGGGGUACUGGGCUACCAAGGCGUCGACGGGUAGCCGGCCUGAGAGGGUGUACGGCCACAUUGGGACUGAGAGACGGCCCAGACUCCUACGGGAGGCAGCAGUGGGGAAUAUUGGACAAUGGGCGCAAGCCUGAUGCAGCGACGCCGCGUGGGGGAUGACGGCCUUCGGGUUGUAAACUCCUUUCGCUAGGGACGAAGCUUAUUUUGUGACGGUACCUGGAGAAGAAGCACCGGCUAACUACGUG